UGCAGUACCAUCAGCAACAGUAUCAACUGCAGUACCACCAGCAACAAUAUCUGCAGGACCAUCAGGUAAUUUGUUUUGCAUGCUUAUGCAGUUUUAUGGGUGUUAUGUGUAUUAUGUGUAUGGGUGUUAUGUGUAUGC
This is a long non-coding RNA of Hydra vulgaris (swiftwater hydra), 138 nucleotides long. RefSeq lists it as uncharacterized. The record is from RefSeq and is a predicted model, not a curated record. Lineage: Eukaryota; Metazoa; Cnidaria; Hydrozoa; Anthoathecata; Hydridae.